CGGGGCAACCUGGCGACGAGUGGCGAACGGGUGAGUAACGCAUCGGAACGUGCCCAGUAGUGGGGGAUAGCCCGGCGAAAGCCGGAUUAAUACCGCAUACGACCUACGGGUGAAAGGGGGGGAUCGCAAGACCUCUCGCUAUUGGAGCGGCCGAUGUCAGAUUAGGUUGUUGGUGGGGUAAAAGCCUACCAAGCCGACGAUCUGUAGCUGGUCUGAGAGGACGACCAGCCACACUGGGACUGAGACACGGCCCAGACUCCUACGGGAGGCAGCAGUGGGGAAUUUUGGACAAUGGGCGCAAGCCUGAUCCAGCCAUGCCGCGUGCGGGAAGAAGGCCUUCGGGUUGUAAACCGCUUUUGUCAGGGAAGAAACGCUCUGAGUUAAUACCUCGGGGUAAUGACGGUACCUGAAGAAUAAGCACCGGCUAACUACGUGCCAGCAGCCGCGGUAAUACGUAGGGGCAAGCGUUAAUCGAAUUACUGGGCGUAAAGCGUGCCCAG
Molecule: ribosomal RNA, 500 nt
Filed under: uncultured bacterium
Lineage: Bacteria
Description: bacterial SSU rRNA
Rfam family: Bacterial small subunit ribosomal RNA
Source: RNAcentral